GUGUUGGAUGAUUAGUGAUUUAAAAUCAUGAUUGAAAUGCUAACAGAUAAAUACUAAUAUAGUCCAAUUAAAUAUUAGGUUUUUAUUAAUUAAAUUAAUCAUGUUGGGAAAUAAAUCUUCAAAAGUAACUCUCCUGAAUCCUUUGGCUUUAGCCGUAAGGACUGCUUCUGGACAAGCUGCACAUUCUAGGAUUAGCGGGUCUCUGGUCCCUGACACUUCCCGCAUGGCCAACCAAUGUCGGUAUUA
RNAcentral lists this unclassified non-coding RNA (246 nucleotides) under Hevea brasiliensis (rubber tree). Lineage: Eukaryota; Viridiplantae; Streptophyta; Magnoliopsida; Malpighiales; Euphorbiaceae. The record is from RNAcentral.